Molecule: unclassified non-coding RNA, 3977 nt
Filed under: Cimex lectularius (bed bug)
Lineage: Eukaryota; Metazoa; Arthropoda; Insecta; Hemiptera; Cimicidae
Description: isoleucine--tRNA ligase, cytoplasmic, transcript variant X2
Source: RNAcentral
GCCGUGACGCCGUCGCGCUCGUCAGUUUCCUCCGAUCCGUAACCUCGUCUACUGCUACUCUCGGACGGAUCACGUGUCGUUGCGCUAUUCUUAAAAAAGCUCAGAAUUUUAUGAAAAGUCCGGUCCCGGAUUUAAAAAAAAAACAUGUUGACUUCUGUUCCUGAGAAGAUCUCUUUCUCGGAGGAGGAAGAGCGCAUCCUCGAAUACUGGAAAUCGAUCGACGCUUUCCAAGAGUGCCAGAGACUUUCCAAAGGGCGACCAGAAUAUUCUUUUUACGAUGGGCCCCCAUUUGCCACUGGUCUUCCUCAUUAUGGACAUAUUCUAGCUGGAACAAUAAAGGAUGUUGUGACACGAUACGCUUACCAAAAUGGAUACCAUGUUGAAAGAAGAUUUGGUUGGGAUUGUCAUGGAUUGCCAGUGGAGUUUGAAAUUGAUAAAACUUUUAACUUCAAAUCACCAGAAGACAUCGAAAAAUUUGGUGUCGCUAAUUAUAAUAAGGAGUGCAGGCAAAUUGUAAUGAGAUAUUCCAAGGAAUGGGAAAAGAUCGUCAAUCGUAUUGGCCGUUGGAUUGAUUUCAAAAAUGACUACAAAACCCUCUAUCCUUCAUUUAUGGAAAGUGUAUGGUGGGUGUUUUCGGAAUUGUGGAACAAAGGAAUGGUUUAUAGAGGUGUGAAAGUAAUGCCUUUUUCUACAGCAUGCCACACUCCACUAUCAAAUUUUGAAUCGAGCCAAAAUUACAAGGACGUAAUUGAUCCAGCCAUCGUGCCAAAAUUCCAACUUAAGAAGGAUCCUAAUUGUUUCCUGUUAGCUUGGACAACCACGCCUUGGACUCUGCCCAGUAAUUUAGCAAUAUGCGUACACCCUGAGUUUAUUUAUGUAAAAUUAAGAGAAACAAAAAGCAAUAUGCAUGUUAUACUUUUGAAGGCAAGGAUGCCUGAUUUUUUCAAGCAAGUCGAUAAAAAUACGUUUACAAGGCAAAAUGAAGAAUAUGAAAUAGUUGACACAUUUGUUGGGUCUAAGCUCAAAGGAGAGGAAUAUAUGCCGUUAUUUAAUUACUUUGCCCAUUUGAAACAAUGUUUCCGUGUCUUGACAGACACCUAUGUCACAGAAGAAUCAGGUACUGGUGUCGUUCACAUGGCUCCUUAUUUUGGUGAAGAUGACAACAGAAUUUGCUUGAACAAUAAGCUUAUAACAAGGGACCAAGAUCCAAUAUGCCCUGUGGACAAUAGCGGGAGAUUUGUCCAUCCAGUCAAGGACUUUGAAAACAUGUACAUAAAGGAUGCUGACAAAGAGAUAAUUAAAAACUUAAAAGAGAGGAAUUUGGUGUUUGACUUAUCGACAGUUACUCACAGUUAUCCAUUUUGUUGGAGGUCAGAAACUCCACUUGUUUAUAAGGCAGUUCCUUCCUGGUUUAUUAGAGUUCAUGAUAUGAGCAGUGCAUUGCUAAAAACCAACAAUGAUACAUAUUGGGUUCCAGAAUUUGUUAAGGAAAAGAGAUUUGCUAACUGGCUGAAAGAAGCCCGUGACUGGGCAGUUAGCCGUAAUAGAUAUUGGGGAACUCCUAUUCCAUUGUGGGUUUCUGAUGAUUUUGAAGAAAUUGUCUGUAUCUCAAGCAUAAAGGAACUUGAAGCUGCAACAGGGAAAAAAUUCAUUGAUAUUCAUAGAGAAUAUGUGGAUGAAGUCACAAUUCCGUCUGCAAGACCAGGAAAACCUCCACUUCGAAGGGUGCCAGAAGUGUUUGAUUGUUGGUUUGAAUCUGGAUCUAUGCCAUAUGCUCAAAUCCAUUACCCUUUUGAAAACAAAGCCGAAUUCAAUAAAAAAUUCCCUGCUGAUUUCAUUGCAGAAGGAAUAGAUCAAACCAGAGGAUGGUUUUACACACUGUUAGUAAUAUCUACAGCUCUUUUUAACAAACCUCCUUUCAAAAAUCUUAUCGUAAAUGGACUUGUGCUCGCUUCUGAUGGUCAAAAGAUGUCAAAGAGCAAAAAGAAUUUUCCAAAUCCCGAAGAUGUUGUGAAUAAAUUCGGUGCUGAUGCAAUCAGAUUGUAUCUCAUAAAUUCUCCAGUCGUUAGAGCUGAUAAGCUUAAAUUCAAGGAAGAAGGCGUAAAAGAUGUUUUGAAAGAUGUUUGCUUACCUUGGUAUAAUGCCUACCGAUUUUUCAUACAGAACGUCCAAAGGCUAGAAGUUGAGGAAAAAGUGAAGCUUACUUUCCAAGAGGAUGUAUUUGUCCCUUCUAACCUUAUGGAUAAGUGGAUUUUGUCAUAUGCCCAAUCUUUAAAUGUGUUUGUUAGAAAAGAAAUGGCAGCAUAUAGACUUUACACUGUAGUACCGAGGUUGGUAAAGUUCAUUGAGAAUCUUUGCAACUGGUAUGUAAGAAUGAAUCGGCGAAGGCUAAAGGGUGAUACUGGUUUGGAAGAUUGCAAGAACGCACUCAGCACACUUGGAUCAGUAUUAACUAAUAUGAUAAGGCUUAUGUCUCCUUACACACCAUUCUUAACAGAAUUAAUGUACAAGAAUUUGAGACAUCUUACAGGAAGAAAUGAAAAAAGUGUCCACUUCAUCUUAAUGCCUCAACCAAGGAGUGAUUUAAUUAAUACAGAAAUUGAAAGAGCUGUUUCUAACAUGCAAACAGUUAUAGAUUUGGGCAGAGUUAGCAGAGAUCGUAAAACGAUACCUAUUAAGAAUCCUCUAAGAGAAGUAAUAGUUAUAUUAAAUAACAAAGAUACCUUCAAUGAAAUGGUUCCAUUUACAAAUUACAUAGAGGAAGAAUUAAAUGUUAAGAAAGUUACCUUAUCGGUCGAUAAAGAACAAUAUGGUGUCUCUUUUAAAGCUGAUGCCGAUUUUAAAACGUUAGGCCCUCGUCUAAAAGGCGAUUUUAAGAAAGUAUUAGAAAUUAUCAAGCAUUUAAGUGAUGCUGAAAUCCAAGGCCUGAAAUCAAAAGGUUCUAUAACAAUAGAGGGCCAUACUUUAACUGAAGAUGAUUUAAAAAUAAAGCUGGAUUUCAGUGGAAACAACGCGACUGAAUUGUCUCAACGAUACGAAGUUAAUUUACAAGAUGAUGUUUUAGUCCUCUUAGAUGUUUCAAUGGACAAAGAAUUGCAAGCCGAAGGAACAGCUAGAGAGAUAAUUAACCGAGUACAAAAGCUGAGAAAGCAGGCCCAUUUGGUACCGACCGAUGUUAUAAAAGUGUAUUACAGUGUUAAUCCAGAGAUGUGCACACUAGCUGAAACAGCAAAGAGCUACACAAGCUUCAUUGAAAACGGUCUAAAAGUGCCGUUUAUUGCUGGUACUCCGAACGAGAAAGAAAAUAUUAUAAUCAAAGACACUCAACAGUUGAAAGGUGUUGAGAAAGGAUUUGAACUCACACUGACCAUAACAGGUGAUAUGAUAAAUAACAGAAAUCCAGAUUGUGGAAAUGUUCCUUUCUGCCGGUAUGCUAAUCUUCUAUUAGUCGAAACUGAACCAGGAUUUGGAGUUUCUUCAUCAAACUCAUCUCUAGUGUUAGAAAAUCCUAAAGGACAAAACGUCUUAAACUUAAAGCAAUUGAAAGAACAGGUCAAAAUGCUCUUUGCUUUGGACAAUGACGUUCAUCUUUAUACAGCGCAAGGAGAACUCACGGAGGAAAAGCUUAGUAAAAUAAAUGGUGAAACAAUAGUAGCGGCUACAAAUAAAUUGACAAAACCACAUACAAAUUUGCCAGCAUCUAAGACGCCAAUACUAUCAAAGUAAGUGUUGUUAGGCUAUUUUUAUUUUUUAAGUUUUUGAAUUAUUGAGCUUUUCAGCCAACUUUGCACUUGAAUAAUAUUUAAUAAAAAGUUGAUAAAUGCAUUCCUAAUGUUUAAAUGUCGUUUAAAUUUUGUAAAUAAUUUUCCUUUGUUUUACUCAAUCAUACAAAAUGGGUAAAUAAUUGAUUUAAAAUAACCAAACACAUACCCAGAAAAGCAAAUUACGCAGUUUUCACAGAAUAAAAAAAACUUCCA